AGAGUUUGAUCAUGGCUCAGAAUGAACGCUGGCGGCAUGCCUAACACAUGCAAGUUGAACGAGAUCUUCGGAUCUAGUGGCGCACGGGUGAGUAACGCGUGGGAACCUACCUUUUAGUAUGGGAUAACGUUUGGAAACGAACGCUAAUACCAUAUACGCCCUCCGGGGGAAAGGUCAGCCGCUGAAAGAGGGGCCCGCGUCUGAUUAGCUUGUUGGUAGGGUAAUGGCCUACCGAGGCUACGAUCAGUAGCUGGUCUGAGAGGAUGAUCAGCCACACUGGGACUGAGACACGGCCCAGACUCCUACGGGAGGCAGCAGUGGGGAAUAUUGGACAAUGGAGGCAACUCUGAUCCAGCCAUCCGCGUGUGUGAUGAA
RNAcentral lists this ribosomal RNA (375 nucleotides) under uncultured alpha proteobacterium SUR-FREE-19. RNAcentral's name for it is "bacterial SSU rRNA". It matches the Rfam family "Bacterial small subunit ribosomal RNA", at positions 8 to 412 of the family's 1533-position model. Lineage: Bacteria; Pseudomonadati; Pseudomonadota; Alphaproteobacteria. The record is from RNAcentral.